GUCUUUAUUUUUACCUUGUACAUCCCUUCUCUUAGUUUGUACCUGUCCUUACCACCUGUCCCCUUCCCCCAGCUGUCACAGCCCCCGCCCACUCUCCUAAAUUUGACAGGAGCACCUCUGACUCCAAGGCUGUGACUCAAAAGGUAGAACCUCAGCCUGAGAGGGUCCUGACAUUUGGUAAAGAGGUGUGAGGAAGAGAUUGGAGGGGUAGGUGUACACAAUGUUGGCAAUGAAGAAAGAGCUCCUUUACUGGAACAGAAGGAAACUUUGAGUUCAAUACAAUCUCCCUUUCAACUGUAUCUGAACAUGAUGGAAGCUGGUAACAACUUCAGAAGUUAUCCAUUGAGGCUGAGGAAUGACCUCCAAAGAUAUCCAGGUACUAAUUUCUGAAACCUGUGAAUGUUACCUUGUAUGGCAAAAGAAACUGUGCAGAUCUGAAUAAAUAAAGGAUUCUGAGGUAAGCAGAAUUAAAGUGGAUAAUCUAGAUGGGUCCUAAAUGCAAUCAUAAGCAUCCUUCUGUGAAGGACACAGAGGGGGAUUUGACACAUAGAGGAGGCAAUGUCACCACUGAAGCUGUGCUGCUGACUUCAGAUCCAGAGGAAGGGUCCACAAGGCAAGGAGUGCAAGGACUGCAACUUGAGAAGCUGGAAAAGGCAACAAGGAAAGAGAUCUCCCUCCUAGAUACUCUGGAGGAAACUUAACCCUGCCAGUACAUUGAUUUUUACCAGUUAAACUGAUCUUGGACUUCUGAACUGCAGAACCGUGAGGCAAUUAAUCAAUGUGCUGUUGAAAGUCAAUGAAUUUGUGGUGACUUGUUACAAGAAUCAUAGGAGACUAAUACAUUGUAGAAAUCUCUCAUUUGGUCUCCACAAAGAGAGCCUUUCCUUGACCAUGGCUGGCCUCUUGCCCUACUAGAUGCUAUUUCCUUCCAUAACACCUUUCAUUUCCCCUUAUCCCUGAGCACACUGUUCGUUGAAUUGAUAACCUUACCACCUGGAUCAUUAAUUUUAUGAGGACAAGGUCCACCUUUGUUUUGCUAAUCUUGACAUCCUUUUGGCCUAGGUUAUAAUAUUGCAAUCAAUUAUAUUAAGUCACUCAUGUUAGACUACUAUAGUUUGAAUAUGUACUGCAAAGUUUAUGUGUUGGGUACUUAAUUCCCAAUGCAACAGUGUUGCAAGGUGGCAUCUUUAAGAGGUGAUUAGGUCAUGUGGGAUCUGCCCUCAUGAGUGAACUAACGCCAAUAUAAAGGGAGUAGUUCACUUGUUUCUGGAGUGGAUUCCUGAUAAAAGAAUGAAUUUGGGAUUCUUCCCUCUCUCUUGCCAGCCAUGUGACAUCUUCACCCAAGUUAUAACACAGUCUGAAGGUCCUCACUGAUACAAUCCCCUGAUCUUGGACUUCCAUAUCCCCAGAACCAUAAGCCAAAUAAACAUUUAUUAUUUAUAAAUUACCCAAUCUGUAGUAAUUCUGUUAUAGCAUCACAAAAUGGAGUUAUACCAUUGACAAUUUCAUAAUAAUCAAUGUACAGGUCCUCAAUGAAAGUGUGUUGAAUACAUACAUCUAAGGAGAACAUUUUAUGUGUGAGGGACUUGUUCUGAAUUCCAUUUCCACCUCCCAAAGUUCCCUAAUCAGGGGCAGGUCAUAUGUGUGAAGGUCAUAUGUGUGAAGACAUUCCACAGCUAGGAGCCAUUCUUCAUGUGACUUUUUGCUCUCUGAAUACAAUGGUCACACCAAGAAUGUGAACAAAACCAGAGUUAUAAAAAGGGGAAUAGGAGAGUAGAUCUCAUCCAAUAAAGUGUUUUGUCAG
This is a long non-coding RNA of Nycticebus coucang (slow loris), 1804 nucleotides long. RefSeq lists it as uncharacterized. The transcript has 4 exons. The record is from RefSeq and is a predicted model, not a curated record. Lineage: Eukaryota; Metazoa; Chordata; Mammalia; Primates; Lorisidae.